GGGACACGUGGUAUCCUGUCUGAAUAUGGGGGGACCAUCCUCCAAGGCUAAAUACUCCUGACUGACCGAUAGUGAACCAGUACCGUGAGGGAAAGGCGAAAAGAACCCCGGCGAGGGGAGUGAAAAAGAACCUGAAACCGUGUACGUACAAGCAGUGGGAGCCUCUUAAUGGGGUGACUGCGUACCUUUUGUAUAAUGGGUCAGCGACUUAUAUUCUGUAGCAAGGUUAACCGAAUAGGGGAGCCGAAGGGAAACCGAGUCUUAACUGGGCGUUAAGUUGCAGGGUAUAGACCCGAAACCCGGUGAUCUAGCCAUGGGCAGGUUGAAGGUUGGGUAACACUAACUGGAGGACCGAACCGACUAAUGUUGAAAAAUUAGCGGAUGACUUGUGGCUGGGGGUGAAAGGCCAAUCAAACCGGGAGAUAGCUGGUUCUCCCCGAAAGCUAUUUAGGUAGCGCCUCGUGAAUUCAUCUCCGGGGGUAGAGCACUGUUUCGGCAAGGGGGUCAUCCCGACUUACCAACCCGAUGCAAACUGCGAAUACCGGAGAAUGUUAUCACGGGAGACACACGGCGGGUGCUAACGUCCGUCGUGAAGAGGGAAACAACCCAGACCGCCAGCUAAGGUCCCAAAGUCAUGGUUAAGUGGGAAACGAUGUGGGAAGGCCCAGACAGCCAGGAUGUUGGCUUAGAAGCAGCCAUCAUUUAAAGAAAGCGUAAUAGCUCACUGGUCGAGUCGGCCUGCGCGGAAGAUGUAACGGGGCUAAACCAUGCACCGAAGCUGCGGCAGCGACACUAUGUGUUGUUGGGUAGGGGAGCGUUCUGUAAGCCUGUGAAGGUGGCCUGUGAGGGUUGCUGGAGGUAUCAGAAGUGCGAAUGCUGACAUAAGUAACGAUAAAGCGGGUGAAAAGCCCGCUCGCCGGAAGACCAAGGGUUCCUGUCCAACGUUAAUCGGGGCAGGGUGAGUCGACCCCUAAGGCGAGGCCGAAAGGCGUAGUCGAUGGGAAACAGGUUAAUAUUCCUGUACUUGGUGUUACUGCGAAGGGGGGACGGAGAAGGCUAUGUUGGCCGGGCGACGGUUGUCCCGGUUUAAGCGUGUAGGCUGGUUUUCCAGGCAA
RNAcentral lists this ribosomal RNA (1115 nucleotides) under Escherichia coli. RNAcentral describes it as "bacterial LSU rRNA". It matches the Rfam family "Bacterial large subunit ribosomal RNA", at positions 419 to 1539 of the family's 2925-position model. Lineage: Bacteria; Pseudomonadati; Pseudomonadota; Gammaproteobacteria; Enterobacterales; Enterobacteriaceae. The record is from RNAcentral.